CCUAACGCCGCCAGGGGGCGCCCCGCCCCGCUCGGCGGAAAAGAGGCCGGAGCGGGAGGUUCAAACGCAGCGGCCGGCUGAGAAACAUGAAAGGAUGCAGGAAGUCCUGAAUGACCGCAAUGAAUACCUGUGAUCAUUAAGUCACUGCCUGAGUACUGGGAGAGAGCAAGGUAAGCAGUCAGGCAAUGCCAGCAGCACUUCAUGUAAUCUGCAUGAUUGUGUUUCAACCAAGUCUUACUGCUUUCAGAUAUCAAAUUCAUAGCGAGUUGGGCAAAGGCAAAUAGCCUGCAGGUUUGAAUGCAAGAUUUGCUUUUAGUUCAAAGCCUUGAAAAGCAGAAAAUCUACUUCCCUUUCCAGGGCAAAAAACAAGUUCUGUGUUGUGAUUUUUCUUUCUUUCUUUUCUGUCCCCCUAAAUUAUUAUUUUCUUUUUAAAGGCGACCGCUCUGAUUUCAGCAAUCGAUUCAUGACCAAAUCUCAGCUUCCUGGGCUGACUCAAGGGAGGGCUUGGAGGAGGGGUGGAAUGCUUCACGAACUUAGCUGAUGAAAAGGCAUGCUGUUUUGUGGAUGCCUCCCAGAAUUGUUUAAAUCUGUGUGCGCACGCGUGUGUAUGAAAAAGGAGAGAGAGAUCUCCAUGACAACUGGCCUGGCCAGUCUGUGUUCUUUGCAAUCAUUUUAGCUGGAAUCAGUGCUGCGAAAGGUCAUAUGAAGGAGUUCUGGGAAGCACAGCAGGUAUUAGGCGUUAAGUGACCGGUUUUGCUGAUUGCUUCACAUAAUAAGGCAGAGUUUUGUCUGGGAAAUACAAAUCUGAGAAUGGAGUGGAAAGGGAAGUGCUCCAAAUUUCAGGUAACAAAAACUGCUUUUUUUUAAUGUUACUUCCUUCAAUUUUAAAGUGCUUUUUUUCCCCCCUCUGCGGUGUUUACUCCCAGCCGAGUGUCUGUGCUAGCUUGGAUUCCCUAACUCUGGGGAAUGAUGUCAUGCAGCAACAGUUGGAUUCUAUUAGCCAGGAAAAGAGGAAACAUCCUGCAUUUUUUGGGAGGGGAAAAAAAGCAGCAGCUUUGGCUCUUUGUUGAAUCUUAUGCAAAGGCUGCAAGAAGUGUUCAAGGAAAACUUUCUAAUAAAUUAAUUCCCAUUAAACAUUAUCAGGACCUAGAAAACACCAAUAUUAAAAAACAUUGCAACAAGUUACAGCUGUAUGCAAGAAAGUAAUUACAGAAAUGUUACAGAAUUCAGCAUACUUUUUUUUUUUCUUGGAUGAUGCUAUAUUCUUCUUUAAUGAGAAAAUUAAUUGUAUCUUAAUUGAGAAGAGGAUUUAGGAUCUCUGCACUCUUGGGAUCCCCUAGCAAUUGUUUGAAGAAUGUGCUGCUUCUGGUUUGGGCUCUGUCUCAAUCUGCUGCUUCUGAAUAGAUGAUGCUGGCAGCAUUGUUCUUAAUAAGGUUUUCAGUCCUGGGUUGUGUUUUUCAUGGUUUUCAACUAGUCCUUUUGGGAGCGGCUGGGAGGGAAAUAAAGUAGAAAACAUUAAUUAAAAUGCAACACUUGAAAGAAGUUUUUUUUUCCCCCUUUCCUCAGAGCUGUUUGUUAAAUGCUGUAGUCCUUGGUAAAUAUUAGAGCGGCAUGCAUAGUGUUUUAAGUGGAAAAAUAACAACUAAUAUAUGUGCCAUUGCUAUGCCCUAAUGAAGACUUAGAAAAUCAAUAAAGUUCUACUUUCUUGAUCAUCACCAAAAACACACCAAUAACCAAUAUGUACCAAUAACAGUGAAGAGAUUAGGUUGCUCCUACGUUAUUAAAACUCUCCUCUAGGAGAUGCUUAGUUCUACUUUUCUGUUGCUUUGCUCCCUUCUGUGCACUUCAGAUGUGAUCCAAAGUGUGCUGGAGUCCAUGGGAGUUUUCCCAUCAACUUCAAAGGGCUUCAGAUCAGCCUCUGCUUGAGAACUUCUCUGCCUCUGUUUCAGCCUUUUGACUGUAGGACCAAGCCACAGACUGUUUUCUUUCCUGAACUUUCCAAACAGAGAGUCUUUUGUAUUCCACCAAACAAUGCCAGACACUGCUGACUGGCUUCCGUGUGGCUGCUAACAUGCACUGGAGAUAAUGAUGAUGCCUAUUUCUGCUUUCUGCUGCCAUCCUUCUAGAGGGGGAAAAGUGCAAUGAAUGAACACCUAUUCCACCUCUCCUCUCCCCUUCACACAGAGCCAUUAUUUGUGAGAGUGAGUGCAAAGAGCUCCUUCAUUAAGGAGUGAUCCUACCUUAGGUAUCAGCCGUGCUUCAAGGAGGAUUUCUGGGAAGACAUUCAUGGGAAAACACUGCUAUUACAGUGCUUAUGUUUUGUAAAUGAACAUUUUGAAACACCUGAGAGACCUCUGCCUGGUGUUGCUCACUGGGCAUCCCAAGGGCAACGGCUGCUUUUUUGGAGUCUAUUUUUUCUGUUGUAUGAUGCAAUGGGAAGCUUUUGUUUUCCCAUAAUGGCACAUUUCCCAUAAUGGCCUGGGUUGCAGUAUUUACCUAUUACUUGGUGUUUUUUACAAGGCAUCAUUUUCAAGGUACUUUAAUAUAACUUUCAUACGUCUUGAAUGGUUCCAAAUGAAAUUUGCAUAUAUUAGAGUUGUAUCUCGAAGAGAGAUGUUUUACCCUGUUGCCUUGACAUAGAGCUCCUUGCUGGUCCCAAGCACCCACUGCAUUGCUGUCAGUGGCUCCAUGCCCGCUCUGUCUCUGGAUAGGCAGUGGCCCAGGGUUGGUGUGUAAUGUUUUGUAAGAUCAGCUGUGUCUUGUCACUUCUACCCUUAGCUGGAGAGUAGGAGGAUGUGGCAGAAGUGUCUUCUUUCCCCCUCUCCUUGAUUAUCAAUCUAGUAAUUUUUAUAUUGAGUUAUAUGCUUUAACUGAGUGUUCUUAUCUUGCAUAAGAUCAUCCUUUGUGUAACUGCUGGUGCUCCCUCUACCCAUAGGCUGACAGCAGACAUUUGCCUGUUAUCAGUCACAAUGGGCUCCAGGUGAAUUGCUGUGUUGACGUUUGUCUUUGUCAGCUGGAAACAAACUGAUUCCUGAAUGAGGUAAAAACUAUCUAGAAGCCUAGGGCUGACUUCGUUUAUAUCAUUCAAUGCCUCUUUUUGCUCUACUUACCUUCUCUAAGUAACUCAAGUCUUUUCACUUUCUUGUCCUAGGGGAAGUCUAAGACACUGAGAAAAACAGGUAAUUGUCUCUGUUUCUGCUGUUUUCUUUGAAGGUUUGGUGAACUUCAGAAAGCCUGGUGUUACAUUUGUGGACAAAUGUACCAGUACGUUCUUGAAUGCAAGAUCAGUAUUCCCUGUAACCUCGUGCUUACAAUAGAUAGAAUUCACUGAUUGAGAGCAACAGGGCUGCAUAUUUAGAAGAGCUUUUCAUGAGGAUGUUCCAAUCUUUCCUUCAUUUUCUGCAAGCUACUUUCAGUUCCCCCAGUGAGAACAACAGUUCUCACUGUUGUUUCUUCUCAUCUGCUGUCUCCAGGUCAUGAUGACACAGAGACUUCAUAAGGCAUAAAAUGUGAAAUGCAAAAUGAUUUGUUCUGAGCAGCACACGCUGGAUGUAAGUGUGAUACCUUUAGUUGCAGCAAGAACCUUGAAAUGAAUGCACUGUCAUUCUGCAGCGCAGGGGCUCAUUAGGGCUAAUCACUGAUCUCUGUUCUGCCUUUGCAUCUUUGACCUGGUUGCUUUGCUGAACUUAACACAGUUGCUAAUGUGACACAAAGCAGACCCUUGGCAUAGCCCUGAUCACAGAGCAGGGAGAGAUCUGGCAACUUUCACACAAAUCCUUUAUAAUUAAGGCUUCCGGUCUGGGAUUUAAACUUCUUUCUCUUAAAAGCCUGAGAGGCACUUCUUUUUUAUUUUUCAGGCUGAAAGUUAACCUUCUGCUGGUGGAGGCAAAGUCCCCUGAUGGUACUUGCUGCCAGCACGCCUGGGAAAGGCAGGUGCUCUUUUUGUUCCUGCAGCAGGAUUUGCAAGCAUGCUUCCCAGUUUUUCCUCAGUUUCACGUGACAACAACAGAGUCUACUAAGCAACUAGUGGAGUGUUGCACAGAUGGCUGUCCUCCAGUGGCAGCUCUCAUUCUGAGUUCAGUGUCCGUAGCAUUAAUCCUCUCUGCCCGCUGGGAGACGAACUGUCAUACAAAAGGGCUGUUCAAAGGAGUCCCAUUUCUCCAUUCAGUCAGAGAUAGAGUUCCCCUCUUGAAGAGUUUUGUUUUGUUUUUGUCUUCCCUCCAUCCUGUUGUAGUUUGACAAGAAGAUGAAUCAGAGGCGAAAACUUCUGCCAAUGGCAAGAGCACAAUUUGGCAUCCCUUGUUCAGCUGGCAUCCAAAGGAUACAAGCCAUCAAAUUAUCCUGUGCUCCUGGUCCAGCUGAGCCUGUUAGCAUAUGGCCAGGACAUCCCUCCCUGCCUUGAAACAAGCUUGAAAGCUGAAAGAUAUCACUAAACAUUUACCACAGUAGGGACAUGCUUGGGGACAGUUGGACGAUUGUGACAGUAAAAAAUGUGCUCCUUACAACGUGCUUCCAUGCCUCCUUAGUGGAGAGCACAAAGCAGUUUGAAAGUUGCAGCAGUAUGGAAACAUUUGCAGUUGCACAAUUCAUGUUCGCAUGUUUCAGUCUCACAUAGGCCCAUGCAGACCAUCUAUUAUUAGUUUUAGAAGGAGAAUAGCUGACUGCUGAUUAAUUUGAAUAGGGUAUUCCAGAGAGAGCCAUUUUAUGGAUGAGUUAUCAAGAGUGGCAAGCCAAGAAAACUGACUAAAGUUACACAGAAAAUCUCUGAUGUAGAAAGCAAUCAUGUUUAUCCAAAAGAUUUGCAGACACAAAAACAUCUUCGUAUGGCCCUGCUUUCAACAUGUCCAAACCUGUGCUGGGUUAGGUGAAAAGCUGCAUAGCUCAGCUUCUUGCACUCUUCGCCUAGCGUUUCCUGAGGAGCUCCCUAGGGAUGUUGUCAUUGCAAAGGGGACCUAUCAUCACAGUUUGGCCUUCAGAAGCUUGCCUCCAAGUAUUUCCAGGUGACUUGUUCUAGUGCUUGCUUUUGGAAAAAGUCUCGUUGGCUUCAGAGGGAAGAGUGAAAAAGUAUUUUUGGAUGCUGAAUAUGCCUUGCUUAAUCAGCUGAUUAUCUGGAUCAGAAAUACUCUUUGUGCAUCAGAUUGGAUUUCACCAUUGCACUGACCCUCCUGUGCUCUCGCUUGGGGCAGCAGAUUGGCUUUUGGGAAUGUAUGAAGUCCAAAGGGCAAACACUGUUUUUUUCAGUGCAGCUCUUUUAUUAGUAACACCACAUUACAGUAGGUUGCAAGAGGAGCAGUAUCACCCCCAGACAUGCACAAGCAGCUGUCUGGCCAACCCUUUAAUUUCCCGUGGAAAGCACUGUCCCUGUAAUGCUGCUUGUAAGCAAGACACUGCUCCCCAGCAUGGGAAGCACAGCUCCUGCUAGAGGCUCUUUCCCUGACCUGAGGGAAAACCCACCACCCUGCUUGGGCAGGGAAGGAGAGUCACUCCUGUCCCUGGAUCUGCUGGAGGGGAUCUGCACAGAUCUUCCCUCUCCAACAGCAAUGUGCCUCUGAUAUGACACUGUGCUGGGACUGUUCUAUCUGCCUCUGCUCGUGCUGCUCUGUGGGAUGGGAGUUGCAAAAGGUGAGAAGGUUGAACUGUCCCCCAAGUUGCUGUGGGCUGGGAGGAGACUGCAUGUUUUUCAGGGCAGAGAGCUUGUGUCUGUGGGGUGAUCAGAUGAUGCCCUGGGCAGAAAUGCUUCUCCUGUGAGCUAGGCCAGAGCUGUCAGGGCACGGAGGUGCUCCUGAAAUGGCCAUGCAACUGAUGUCCUUACAGACCCUGUCACCGUGUACUGACUCUGCCCUUCUCCUGAUCACUUUGCUCCUUGAGAUCAUGGAGAUGUUUGAAAGGGUAACACCGAUGGUGGGGCCUUUUCUCUUUCUAGCCAGCAGUUGAGUCCAGGUUCCUCUUACAACUGAACUCCCCCUGUAAAAGAGAUUUGUUGCAUGCAAAGGCUGUUUGGAGGCAGAUGCUGAAAUCUAAUGUGAUUAAAAUUGCUCUCUCUAAGCCUAUAUGCUUGGAGCUGUGUGUUGUGAGGGGGUUGCUCUACCAGCUGGUUGUGCACGGGACCCCGUCAGCAAGUUAUAAUCUCUUCUGUGCCAGAUGCAGUGAAUAGGGUAAUACACUGUCAAAUUUGGCGUUUGUAUUAAGAUCUGCUUUUCUCUGCUAUGGAGACAUUAUCCAGUUUUCUGCUUAGAUGCAUCAAGAGCCAGGGUCCCUGCUGUGUUUUAUUUAGUAUUGGCUGACAUGCAUGGACAGUAGAAAACAAAUGUAAACACAAAUCAGUGCUGUGCGGUACAAAAGCACAGCACAUUUUUCUGGGGAUCUGUGAGCAUCUGGGAAGAACGGAGGGCCUGGGGGGGCAGCCUGAGGUUGCCAUCUGCAGCACCUUGUUGGCAGAGCCCAGAACAGUUCUUGUGCAGCUGAUAGCUCUGCUAGUGUGUGUGUGUAUGUAUCUAUUCUACAAAUAAGGCCAGAUCUUCAGGCAGAGGAAGAUGAGGCCAGUAGAGCUAUGCUGAAGGCUUCCAUAAUUUUUCUGGCAAAUCCAUGCAGCUUGUGUACAGAAUAUGGCAGAUGGGUUGCAAAGUGGCCAUUUAUCUGGAGAAUUCAGGUGGUGUUUGUUGUCCUGGCCAAGCUGUGUGAUGUCCUGAGAUCCAGGACAAAAGGACAGAUUCCUUUUUCUUCAUCUGAUGAAAUUUUUUAUGGUUCCUCACUGCAAGAAAGGCAUCGAGGCCCUGGAAUGUGCUCAGAGAAGGGCAAUGAAGCUGUGAGGGGUCUGGAGCACAAGUCUUAUGAGGAGCAGCUGAGGGAACUGGGAUUGUUUAGUCUGGAGAAGAGGAAGCUCAGGGGAGACCUUAUCUUUCUCUACAAAUGCCUGAAAGGAGGUUGUGGUGCAGUGGUAGUUGGCCUCUUCUCCCAUGUAACUAGCAGUAGGAUGAGUGGGAAUGGCCUCAAGUUGUGCCUGGGGAGAUUCAGAUUGGAUGUUAGGAAGUACUUCUCCUAGAGAGUGGUUAGACACUGGAUGGGCUGUCCAGGGAGGUGUUGGAGUCGCUGUUCUUGGAGACGUUCAAGAAACAUUUAGAUGAUGUACUGAGGGAUGUGGUUUAGUGGGAAAUAUUGGUUGAUAGUACUAGAUGAUCUUGGAGGUCUUCUUCGACCUUGGUGAUUCUGUAAUUCUUUGAUUUCCACACUUUCUUACAAUCUGAUUUAAAAGCAGGAAAGCCAAUCAUACCAUUGCAGACAGGAAAUUCUGUAAAAUAUAUAUAUUUUUGGAAGCACAGACACAUGGUGUUCCCAAAAUGAAGUGGUUCAGGACUGUUGCAGUGGCUGGAUGAAACUUAGAGCCUGCUUGACUGUUUAACUCCUGCUCACCAGAGAACAGGAGUGGCAAAUCCAUCAGCUUGGACAGAUUGCCCUAGUGACAGUGGCUCACCAAUGUCUUCCACAUUAGUUAUGUUUCUGUAGCAGCCUCAGGUCUGACAAAUAUGAUUGAGCUGGAUUGAGCUGUCUUUUAUCAGCACAUCCUCUAGCAAAUCCCUUACUGGCCCUAGUCAGGAAAGCGUAUGGAUAAGAAGAGAAAAUUACUGUUCCUGAUCUUUGUUAUUGACUGGUUCUGUUCUUUGUGUAUGAACCAGCCAGAUGGGACUAGUUGCAUUCCUCUGUAAUUUGCAGUACAUGCAGUGUGUGACUGAGCCAGCGAUGAACAAAUACCUUUCAUCAUUUGUUAAGAAGUUUUAUUCAUUGUUUUAGAAACCAAGGAAAUGCCAAAGGUCAGACUGAACCCUUGGGGAAAAUGAGUGGAAGCCUUGGUUUCUGAUGACAACAGGGACACCUUUGGAUCCAACUGACUUUUUGCAGAGGAGGUGUGGAGAUUUGCAUAGGUAUAUUGGCCAGGGUUGAGACUUGUUGUGUUGCUGGUUGGUUUUUGCUUGCUUUCUAAGGGUGAGCGCAGGAGCAUUUUAUUUAUGUUUAUCUUAUAAUCUCAUUUCCCCCUUCCAAAUUCCUCUCUGAAUGCUAUGAGAUGAAGCAGUAUGCAACUGUUUGUAUGUGAUAGGCCAAAUCGCCUAAAAUAUAAAAAGAAUAAAAUGGUAGACAUUCAAAAAUCUUUUCGUCACCAAUCUUGAAAUCUAGAAUGGUUUUCAAUAUAAACACUGGAUAUCCUUCAGCAGGGAAGAUGAAAGGAAGAUAUUAAUUGAAUGAAUUAGAUAAUCUGAUAUAAAUAAAAAAAAUAAGAAGGGCCUCAGAGGUUUGGGAAGUAUAACAUAAUUACCCUUUCCUGAAUUGAAUCGGAUCUGUUCAUAAGCAUUCAGCCCAUCUAUACGUGGAAUCGCAAACAGGGUACAGCUUUGCUAAUAUUGGCAGGUAAAGGCUAAUUUUUGCCUUAAAACUUUCCUAUUGAUACACUUUUGAAGUACAUGUUUUAUUAAAUGUUAAUUUUUUCUACUUAAGCAUGGUAAGGACCGUGUAUUUGUAGUUUCAUGACUUGACACAUAACUUUAAGAAUUUAACUUGCUACUAGAUUAGGAUCAAUUCUAGAAUGAUUUGGAUUGGAAGGGACUUUAAACACCAUUCAGUUCCAACUCUCCUGCCAUGGAGUGGGACAUCUCCCACUAGAUCAGAUUGCCUGAAGCCCCGUCCAACCUGACCUUGAACAUUUUUGGGAAUGGAACAUCCACACCUUCUCUGGCAGCCUGCUCCAGUGCCUCACCACUCUCAUAAUGAAUAAUUUCUUCCUUAUGUCCAACUUAAACCUACCCUUUUGUAAAUUGAAAACUGUUCCCCUUUGUCCUACUGCUACACACCCCAAUAAAGAGUCCCUUACCUAUAGGCCUCUUUUAAUUACUGUAAGGCUGCUACGAGGUCUCUGUGGAGCAUGCUCUUCCCUAGGCUCAACAGCCCCAACUUUCUCAGCUUUUCUUCAUAGAGGAGAUUCUCCUGACAAUAGAUCUUUGAUGCAUGCAAAGCAGCAGGUCAAGUGUCAGAAAGCUGUGUCUCCGAUGAGGUGACUAUACAGACUUCUUUUUCUUCCUCUCUCAGUAGAAAAGAAGGUGGAUAUAUAUCCAAGGGGCUGUGCAGUAUAGUGCAUUCAGUUCUGUUCUGUAUGGGAAAGCUGUUAAUGGAUGGGAAAGAAAUUGCCCCCGUUUCCAGCUGUGGGAAAUACGUGAAGACAGAUGAUCUGGAGGGAAAUUGCUGUGUGUGGCUGUGAUAAGAUGAGGAAAGGAAAGACUCGCCUUUAAAAAGAAUUGAAUAGUUAGAUCUCACUCAACUGAUGAUUCAUAGAAAUGAAUUUUGGCUGUCUUUUGACAGAAGCUUUUGAAGAAGCAAUAGGAAAUAUGUGGGUGAAAAUGCACCAAAGUUCUUCUGGCACACUGCCUUCUGCAAUAGAAAGUAAAGCUCUUUCUGAUGGCACUAUAGUUGCUGUGCUCUUUAGUUAACAUAAAAGUAUUAAAAAAAUAAAUAUAUAUAAACUUAGACACAAAUAAAGCAGGGCAGAAUUUAAAAGAAGGAUACUUUGCAGCAAUUAUGGUCACAACAGAGUUCAUUUUAAAUUGUCAUUCAUCCUGUAAAACAGUUGUCUAGUGUCAACCAGGUAGAUCUGCACAAUUUGAAGGGAUCUAGACUGAUUUACUGUAUGUAUCCCUGGAUGACCAAGUCAGUAAAACAUGCUACGUGUUUUUACACACAGAUGUGGCUGUGGUGGAUUUACACUGGACAAAACUCAUGCUUUUAAGUCAUUAAUGGAAAGCUUUUAUUAGCACUUGAAAGUUUGGCUAUAGUUAGCAUGUAUAGUUAGUAAAUUAAUCAUUUUCACUGUAGACAAAUACCGUACCUUAUGUCUGUUGUCAUUUCCUUUGACUUCAUUUAAUGGUUUAUGUCACCUCCACUCCAGUCUCUGCUUUGAAGUAUAUGCUGAUCAAGUGAUGGAGUUCUAGUGCAAUGCGUAGUGAAUUAGGUGAGUAAAAUUAAUGUUUAAAUGUCAAAUCACAGGUUGAACUUCAUGGGUUGAAGCUGUUACCAAGCUGGUUGAUUUUAGAGGUUUUGUGCCUCUUUCACCCCUCCUCCCCCAUUCUUUAAUGCAACAUUUGUGUUAGUUCAGUGAUUUUGUUGUAGUUUCUUAAAUUGCUUUAAGUUUGCAGUGUCCUGGCAUCAUAUGCUUCUUCCAAUCCUGCUGAAUGCACAGACAUAUUGAUUAAGGUAUUGUCAGCUCUCUUGCAAUUUUUGGUGUUUUCUUUUUGCUAGAGAAAUGUUUGAAGUCACCGUGUAGAAAAAUGGAGAGAAAUACUGCAAAAAGCAGUGAACCUGUAGGUUGAAACUAUCAUACCGACCAAUGCAGUUGGAUGCUGAUUUCUCUUGAAGUUGGACGUCGGAGUGGUCCUGGCAGAGGGUCUCAGGACAGCUCUGAAAAUUUCUUUUGUGUAAGUGAUCCGGUAUCUUUGUGGCACAUCUCAGCUGCAGAACGUGAUGGGGAGACAGCACUGGUUAUUUAUUCUGGGUUUUGAAGUUGUCAGGGAGCAUUACGGUCAUACUACAUAGGAGUAAGAGAGCUAGAGUACUGCGUAGGCAGUCACGGUGAGCUACAAGCAGAGCUGAAGUACAGUUGAGAUCGGAUGCCCACUUACACUAUUGCUAGCAGAUGGACCUCUCUGAUGCCUUUCCAGCUUAAAUGGUAGGAACUGUGUACACACAGUAGGUUUCCUUUCAUUUUAGUCCUGUGGUACAUAACUGGACCUGCUUUGUGUCUGCGUGCAGUUGGAUUCUGCUGCAUAUUUUCUCUGUGGAUGAUCAUGGAUGAGAAGUCUGAUAUUCUCCAUUAGACUUGACAGGGAAAAAUACUAGGGGUAUAAUUUUGAAACUGAAAAGUGCAGCACUAUAAUAAAUUGUGGCUCUCUGGUUGAACAUGAGGAUAAAAUUCAUUCCAGACCUUGUGUUUGAGUGGAAGAGUUUAUGAAUGGAACUGCAGCCCCUAGGCUGUAUUUCAGCGUUAGUCUCUAGCUUGGAUUUGUGCUAUUUCCAACGUCGACAAGGAUACGUGUUUUAAAAGCUUUCAUUCUUCCUCUGUUAAGAUUGUUCAAAUGUAAAAUCUGUUGUGCUGCAGAUGACUGUAGAGUAUAUUCCACAGAAAAAACAUUUUGGUUUUGUAAAGAAGCAGGUUAAUAACUGUUUCCUGAAAGGUAUGUAUUAAAAAUAGCUCUAUAUUUAGUUGAAGGAGAACUGGCUUGUGCUCAGAGGAGUCACAGCAGUGUUUCUGCUUCACCUCUGUUUCUCACUGUUCAUGUCUUGUUCUAUCGUGGUCAGCUGUGCCUCAGCUCUUUCACCUGCCAGACAGGUAGAGCUCUGCUAGGCAGCCUCACAGCUGUGUAUGUUGCUUCUCAUCAGAAGUUUAGAUGGAAGCCACAAGCUGUAGUAAAUAUCAGCUGGUAUUGGUUAUAUUCAGAUGGCGAAGCUGAAAUACAGCAAUAUCUUAGUUCUCCAAGAAACAAGCAAAAUAAAAUAUGCUUAGGUAGCGUGUUAUGAAAUUGGGAGUGUUGGACUGAUGUUUGAACUUUCUAGUCCCCGAGCAGACAAAUAGCAGCUGAGAAAUUCAUGCUUAAAGAGGAAGAAGUAGCCAAAACCUCCUGUCAAUUACCAUAUUGUGGUUUCUCCUACUGCCCACAAGUGUUUAUUCUCAGAUAGAUUGUGUUAUAAUAUUGACAGAGACAAAAACAGCAUGCAAAACAUCAAACAGAAAAAAAAAAGCUUAGAAAGUUUGAGGUGGGAUCUUAAAGCAUAGAAAUGCCAAACUUAUUCUUUGAAUGAAUGAACUUAUUCUCUAAAUAACAGCAUCUAUGGAGUUUGGACUCAAAGCUGAAGCAAGGUCUGGCGUUUCCAGAAGUUAGGGACUCUACAACCAUCAGGAACUGGUUCUUGGGAAGGAAUUCAUUCAAAACCAAAGCAAAAUGAUAUCUCACUACCAAAAACAAACAAACAACAAAAAAACAAAAACAAAAACCAACCAACCAAACAAAAAACCCUGAAGAAAAUGAGUGACAAGAAUCAGAAGACAAGCAAACAGCAAUUUAGACUGCAAACAAUGUUGUUGCAAGAACUAGGGAUUCUCUGAAAUGAUGGAGGGGGCUAAAUUUACUGUACUGGCAGAUCCUUUGAGUCCCUUAUUUCCUAUUGUAGAAGGAUCACUUACACCCUUCCCUUUCAACUGUUGACUGUGACAAAUUUUGUGGUUUUUCUUCAGCUUCAGUUCAAGUUCUCUUAAUAGCCUUCACUGGUAGAGAUACGUGCAGAUAGCAAUGAGGGGAAAGAUGUUGCAAGCGCUUGGUUUUUUCACUCUGAAUAUUGCUACACAAUUUAGGUAAAUCAUGAAAAUCAACAUGAUUGGAAACUCUUCUCAAGAAUGUUCUUUUGAAACAGAGGUUAGAAAUCUUGGUCAAAUUAAUUAGUUGUGGUAUUUUAAAAUUCUUUUAUUUCUCAAGCAUUAGUUGAACUAAUUAUCCAUCCGUACAUCUUGUUUUUUUUAGUUGCUUAAUGAAAGCACCAAUGUAAAUAUUUCUAUUUUAUUCUGUUCUGUUCGUAAACUAUAACUUUUGACUUAAACACCUAUUUUCCAAACAAAAUGUUUAACCAUCCAUCGUCGUCUUCUAAAACUUGUGCUUGGGAGUCUGUUUGCUUUCUGAGAAAUGAAUGGCUUUUUUUUUUUUUUUUGCUCUUUAUAGUGCUCAAAGAGAACUUUAGUUUUAUCUCCUCAGCCCUAAAAAAUCCCAAAUUCCCCAUUUUGCGCACACUCUAAGGGAUGACUCGGGACUUUGAUGAGAAGAGCAAUGUGAAGCAAUUGAGACUCAAAGCGCUGAUGACCUUUCAAAGAUACGUGUACAGAAAAUAGGAACCUGUUUUAGACUUUCAGUGUAAAAUUCUCUGGCAUGUCCUUCAGGCUGUCAACAUGAUGAGCUAACUGUCUGUCUGCAUGAGGCAGACAUGCUGAUUCUUCUACAGCCACCUCUCUAAUUCAUUCACAACGAAUCCUCAGCCAGACCCUCGUUCACCUUCCUUGCUUUCUUUAUCUUUGCAUGGAACUGUUCAUCUCUGAUGAAUGAGGCCAUGCAUUAAAAUACCACUUACAGGCUAAGACAAAGUCUCAAAUUGCUUGGUCAAUCUGAAGAGGACCUUGGAUCCCUUCAUUCACUGUUGAAGUUCAUUCUCCAGCUCCUGUUUUUUGUUAUUGCUGAUGGUGAUUCUUUGUUGUCGUUUGUUUGCAGUAUAUACUAGUAGAUAAGUAAAAGUUGAUAAACUUCUUUGGUUUAUGUGAAGUAAAGUUCCUGUCUAAACCAGAACUGCAUAAAACUCUUUACCUUGUAUUACCAUUGACCUUAAUGCUGAAGUUUUCAGACAGAUUACUGUGUUAAAUCUGCUGUUUGACCCACUGACAUCAAAGAGAUCUUGUCUAACAGCUGAAUGAGUAAUAGGGCUUGGCUGCAGCAGAGUAGCUUUGAAAGAAAAGAUUUAGCUGGCAAAUAGCUUUUAUUUCUUCCAUGAGAGGAAGAAAAGUUUUUAUUGAAAUAAAUGUGCUGUCCUUAGCAUGGGUAAAGUACCUUGUUGACAGUGCUUUGGAAGACUUUUCUAUUACAUUUGAAGAAGUUACUAAGGUGUUUCCUCAUGUGGAAUUUUGCCUCCUUGUUUUCCGUCUCUUCUCUUUGGUCGUUCAAUUGUGCAGUUUUUCAGAAAAGAUACUGUUUUAAAUUACAUGCAUUAGAAGCAACCCUCUUGUUCCUUGUAAGAAGUACGUUUCCUUCUUGAUGCCUGAAAACUUCUUUCUGUGAGGCAGGAGUGAAAUAUCUAUUGAAGUGGGAAGCUGAGUGGAUCCUCCAUCAAAGGUGCCUAUGCAUGUACAUCCUAGGCUUACUGCCUAUCUUAAAACUUCUACAUUGAAUAUAUUGUCUGGUUAAAGCAGAUAAUUAACUGAUUAAGCAGAUAUAUUCACUUUAUAUCAGCUGUACUGAGUGUGAUUCAUCUUUUGAAAAGCACCUAAAUGAUUCAUGCGGUUGUGAAACUAUUGACUUUCAAUGAUACCUGAGCUCUGGAGUACACAGACUCUUGCAGGGCAUAGAGGAUAAUACUUCUUCUGUUGUGUUUCUGAGAAUUGUACGAAGAUAGUGUUUGGGAGUUGCCUGGAUGAGCAGAGUUUGGAAGUCAGUUUUGUUUUGAUAGGAGAAUGAACAGAUGCCAUACACCAAAGCAAAGGAGUGGGGAAGAGAUCAAAGCAGGAGUGGGGAAAGGCUGGAACAAGUAGGAGCAUGGCUCUACUUCACCUAAAGGCAGUUACGUGCCUCUAUGCGUUCCCUUGAUGCAGAGCUGCUGUACUUCUGGGAUGUUCAACUGCCCUUAGUGUGGUUCCUGACAAUAAAGUCCAUUCGGUGCCUUGCAAAACUGACUUUGAACAGUCUUUUGUGCACCCACACAGAGACUGUGCUGUGUAUAUCAGCAAGUCAAUGUCUUCAAAGGGCUGUUUUUCUCUCUUUUCUAUUGGGGAGCAUCUUUGCAUUGGUACACACCUCUUACAUAGCAUUGAAAACAAGUGCUUUUUCUAGCACUUGCACAGCAUUUAGGUACAUCAAACGCAGAAAAAGCUCUCUUAUCUAAAAAUUAUGUGUACAGAAAGGGUGAGAUGACUAAUUUUAGCAUACUAAAAUAAAAAACUGAAUACAUUAUUGAGCAUAAUUCUUCUCACUUGUAGGCUGAAGUACUGUCAUGCAGAAGUGUAGCCACAGUUAAGAUCCGAAAGAACUCUUUGUCAAUGGGUCUGUUAAGUUUUCGGCUGCAUUAUUCAUAAGUUUCAUUCCUCCUUCCAGCUGUUUCCACAAAUUCGAAGACUUCAUUUCAGUUUAUAGAUGCUAUUUCUCCACUGUUCAUGCCCACAGCUAUUUUUCCAUGCCCAAAUAUCCCUCCCGCAUGCACCCCUCCCCAAAGAAAAGAAAUGCAGACCCCAUAAAAGAAGCCAUGUAGAGUGAUCCUUUGAUAAUAAAGUCCAAAAUGGCACAAUGUUGGAGCUGCCAUCUGCAAAACUUCAAGAGAUGGUAUUUUUCUGCUGUGUAUCUGUGGCUGGGUGAGGAUAUUGGGCACAGAGCAGAAUGUGGGGUGUGGUUACAUUACCAAAGGGUUCUCAUUUAUGUGUUGCGGCUUCAGUUUUCUCAUUAAAACUGUAAGGGCCAAAGCUUGCUUCUGAAAGAACUGGAGGGAGGAGUUGCUUGAUGUUCUGGUAGUACAGCUACAAUUGGAGGAGAAUCUGUCGCUCAGAGCAACUCCAACUGUACUGGCUUUUUCAUAGGAAGACUGGUCAAAUGGUUAAGAAAAUACAGAUGUCUGGAUAAUGCCUUGAAACUGUGCCAUAAAAUUAAGCUACAGUUUGAAAAAAUACAAAGCUCUCCAACUUGAAGCCAUCUUCACACGUGUGUUUUCUUUAGAGCCCCACCUGAAUGUGGAGAUGUGAAGAUUCACCUAAACUGGAUUUAAUGUUCUUCAUAUCUCUAAAUUUUCCAAGAUCAGAAAAAGCAUCCGUAGCAAAGUUGUUGCCUCCUAAAACGCGGGAUAGAGAAAACCUCUCGAAUAUGAACAUCCAACUGUGAAUUCUUCCUUCAGGUUAAAUGGGAAAAGAAUUGUCUGGGUAGGAGUUCAGAUUGUUGCAGAUAACGAACACCAGAAAAUAGAUGCAAUUAUGCUACGGAGAAACCACUGGAAUGUGUGAUCUAUAAGAACUUGUGAGUCUUGAGGCUUUUAUGCCUCCCAUUCAUCUCAAGGCAAAUUAUCAGCUAAAAUACUGGAGCCUCAAAUUGUCAUAUGAGUAGAUAGUCACAAGUUUUGUUGGUUUUUUUUUAAGUGUAUUUGUAGUCUUAUAAAUUAUUACCUUUUCUUGUUACAAAAUAUAUUUUUUUAUUUUUUAUUUUUAUAUAUAUAAAUAUUUAUUAUAUUUUUUAUUCUGGAAGGAUGAAAUCUGCUGUUAGCCUGCUGCGUGCUGGGCACAGUUAGGGUUCUAUCUGCUCCUGUAACACAUCACAGUCCUAGCAUCACUAAAAACUUCACAGGUUUUUAUCUACCUUCUGGUGGAUGAGCACUGAGUUUUGAAUGAAUCCUGGCCAAGUCUGUGGUAUUGACUGGAAGCCACGUGGAAUUUGGUAAUACAGACAUCAUGCCAGACAAAACUCGUUCAUUUCUGUUUUGAAUGUUUAGAUUUUUUUUAUUAAUCAAACCCAGGGAAAAAUAUAUUCACAUGAAGUUUUAACUGAAGAGUUUUUGCAUAAUGGACUUUAUGAGCCUCAAAGGCCUCAUUUGCUUUAUGACUUUUUUUUUUUAAUAGCAGGCAUUAUUGAUGCUUGCUUAUGCUUUAUUCUAGAUAACUUACUUACUGGAAGGCAGGUUUUGUUUGUGAAGGUUAUUAAAUUAUGUACUACAGUAUUGUGCAUAUAUAGUUGUACAAAACCGAACAAACCUUUGUAUCUGUAACUUUUCCACACACAGUGGCACGGUCUGAGUUCUCUACUGGUCUUAGAUGUAUAUACAAGUGAAAUGAAGGAGGAGCAGUGAAGGAAUAGGAGACAGGAGGGGAAGUCUGGGAGAUGAUUUCAUUUCUGAUACAAACACUACGAACAUGAACGCUAGCAGAUGAGUUACCUACAGUGACUAAACUACAGUUUAGGUGAAAACUACAUGAACAUAAACACUAUGAAAAAGAUAGUUCGGGUUCUCUAGGUUGACUAUGUAACUAUUCAUAACAAAGAUCUGGGCAUUUUUGUUUGUUGAUGAGAUGUGUUGGGAUUAGACUGUAAUUCUUAGAGUCAGCUUGAUGUAGAGUACUUUUCUAGGGCAACAACACUUUCAAAGAUGCAAGAAAAUUAUUCCUGUUUAGUGAGCAGAUUUGAAUUAGAUAUCUACGCUACUCAGCUUAAAUCCAUAAGAAAGAAGAAAUGGAAUGCAAAUGGCAGCCUCAGUGUCAGGCGUGUAUGAAGCUACCAGCUGAAUGCUUGUUCCAGUGUGUACUCCCAUGAGAUGGGGAAAGUUUGAGUCAAACUUUGCUAUGGAUUUAUUCCCUUUUGGAAUGAUAGAUUUCUUGUGUUCAGAUAAUUGUUUUUACACCAUGAAGACCAUAGAAAGAUAUAUUUCCAUAUGGAUGCUAUGCCAAAUUUACCCCGUGGCAUGUGGAAUGCUCUCUGUUUGGUGAGAAGCCAAAACAUUCUCUGUAAGGGAAAAGAGGACGAAACUGUAUCUGAUCUGAGUGCUGAUCUGGGUCCCUCAGGCUUAUCCUGCGGCUGUUUCUGUGUCAAUAGAGGCAACAUUGGAUAUGCCUUUUCAAUGAGAUCACUGCAAAAUGAAAUUGCUACUAAAUUAUAUUUUACUCAGUUUUGAGUUGAGUAAGAAGUAUGAAAACUGGUGCUAAAACUUUGUAUAGAAACACUGGUGCUGGACUGAUGCUCCAGAUGCUGACUGGAUAGAAUUAAUCAUUUCACGCAGAUAUUUCAAGUUCAUGUUAAAUGUUUUAAUAUUGUUGAACAGGAGUGAUUGCACAUUACAGCACUGCAGCUGAUUUGAAAACAAGAAAGGGGACCCCGCUCCUUAACGCACCGGCUACUUGUUCUUCCCAAACACGUUCAGCUGAGUGGAAUGGAGAAGGGUCGUGCUUAAUAUGUUUCUGAAGCUGUGUGCUCCCUCAUGCUGACUGGCAGGAGAGCUGUCUUCCUUUCCUAUUGCAAGCAGAGAAGUGUGAUUUGAGAAGUCAGUCACCAAAGGAAGAUGUAGCGUGGGAGCAGCCUGUAAGAGGCUGUGUGAAGGGGUUUAGGAUGCAGGGACCAUGGGCAGCAGUGCCUCUUGAACCACAGAUGUGGGCUUUUGAUCUUCUCCAGCAACAGGAUGAAAUGGUUAAGUCUUGUAGCAGUGCUUUGCAUCAAGUCGGUUCCUGCUCUGAGGACUGUGAAGAAAGACUUUUCCCUUAGCAGAAUUCACCAUUACAGUGGUCUAUUCAAGCCUGCAUCUGGGAAGAUAGUUAGUGCCUUCAUUUAUGGAAUUCCUGUCAUGGAAUUGUAAGUACUUUAGAACAGCAACUGGUCUCUUGGGAGGUCUCUAACAUGUCAUGUACACAGCAGAACGUAAAUAAUUUCAAUAAAAGGAAAGAGAAACUCUUUCAAAUCACCAAUUACUGUCUUGCAGCCUGGACAGGCUUAAAGGAUGUUGGAGAUGGUUCAUGGUUGGCUUGUGGAUUUCUUUUGGCUUUGAAAAAUCUAAAAUCUCUAAAAUCCCUUCCCUCUUCUCUGCCGUUCUGAAUGCAGUGUACAUGAGAGCUGAGCUGGUGUGCCUGCAUCUGCUGCGCAGUGUCCCUGCUCUGCUGGGAGCACUUGUUGCUGCAGGACACUGAUGGAACUCUAUGUUGGCAGAAGCCACAGGCUGCAGCAGUUAGGCGCUGCAAUCAGCUCAGUAUGUCGGGUGGGUGUUUUGCUGCCUCCUACUACAGGGAAUGUUAAAACAGGUUUAAAUGCUUCCAGUUGUUUCAAUGUCUAGCAGUUGAAGGCCUGGUGAAUGGAGAUUUAUAACACUUCUGGUAUCUUGUUCAAGUUUCCUUUUUGUGCAGAUGAUAAAGGUCUGUGCUGUGGGAGCUGGCUUUUGUCUAGGGAAAAGUGCCUCCUCUUCUGCUGGCUGCUUACACCUGUGAUAGAUGGGAAGAUGCUCUCUGCAGCUUCACCAAAUAGCUUGUAGAUUCUAAAGAAAACCCAUUUACACGGUAGCUGUGACACCACUGAAUAUAACUGGAGACCGUGGCACAAUUUCCUUUGCAAUAGAUUAAGUUCUUUAUCCCUUUAGCUUAUAAAAAUAUCCCUCCUAGCAAGAAAGAGCUCCUUCUCUAUUGGAUCUUACUGGUGUUUUUUACAUUUGUGCAGGGCAACCCUUGAAAUUCCUUAUAUUUCUUCUAAUGGCUUUUCAGUGUUGAUUCACACUUUCCUUUUUUGUUUUAGUGUGGAAGAGUGAAAUUCCAGCAAGGCUGACUUAGUGAAAACUGAAUUAGUGUUGAUGGCUGGAGAGGAACGUAACUCGAUCUUCUUUCUGCAGCUCUCGAAUCAGGAACUGAAAUAAUUGUUCUAAGACAAGUAGAGAUGCCAGAAAACGGAGCGAUGCUUCUGCCAGAUAGUCACCGCAGAAGUGCCAGACAUUCCUUCCCUCUUUAGAGCUUAGGAGUGUGUGUGUUUGAGAAGGAAAGUACACACAGGCAGCAGGGGACCGCAGUGCUUUUCUCUCUGUGAUGCUGAGCACGCAGUGCAGUACCACUGGCAGAGUCCUUAGGGAUGUGUGUGACUGCUGGCAGGGGGUACAGACACAAGGCUCAACUCCAGGAGGGGUUUUUUUGCUCCAUUUCUUUUCACUGUUGAACAGUGGCAUUAGUCACUCUAUCACAGGAUUUAGCAGAGGAUAUGAGGUAAAGUCCCCAGAAUCAGGACUGAAGGGCCCAUCACACAGCACGAGAAGCUAGCUCAGUCCCUGAAGGGUUCGUGGCUCACUGGAGGAGAUGGUGCUGGCUGCCAACCGCUAAGCCCAGCUGCACUGGUUAGUGAUUUGUGCUUUUAAUUGAAACCAUUGUGCACUACUAUAGCCCUGCCUUGUGGGAGCUGCUGGUGCAAUAAAUCUUGAAUUUUUCCAUAUUAGAAGGACGUGUUCUUUGGGGAUUUUAAAGUCUCGUGAUUGUGUUUUUUUUUUUUCCUUCCCCUUUUCUGUUGCUAUAGCUACUAUAAUUUUUGUUAACAAAAGGGAUGAGAAGUAGUUUGCUGCGCAUAGUUUACAUUAUUGUGAUUCUGAUAUGACUGCCAGUAUUCUCUCUCUCUCUCUCUCUCUCUGUCCCUUCCUCUUUCCUGUCUCCCCCCUGCCUGAGUCAGUUCUCUAAACAAACUGCAGGACUCUGGAAGCUGCUGGCCUCCUUCAGUCACCAGAGGGUUGUAUGUGCGUGGGGAUUAGGCUUCUGCCCAUGAACUGGAGGCUCAAAAAGUGAGUUUGAGCUUGUGUUUGCAUCUCAGUAUGGCUUUGUAUAUUUCAUGAGCUGUUACCAGCAUUUGGUAACUCCCCACACGAAUGGGAUUGCGCCCUCUUUGAGGGACGUUGGGAGCUCCUGGCUCUUUCAGUGAGGUCUCACAUCAGGUUACCACGGUGUUCAGCAGAAUAUGGCAGAUCCAUUUUUCUCGAGGUAUAUUUGGGAAAAUAGAGACUUCAUUCUGUGAGGAAAAUACUAGUGAUGAGAUGAAAGAACAUCUCAGUGAGGAAAGAUGAGGUUCUUUCUCUGACAUUUGUUUGAUCCUCAUCUCUCCUCCCAUUUCUUUACAGUCUUUACAGUCGUCUUCCUUUAUUUCAGUGGCACAGCUAGGAGGAAGGUGGAGGUUCACUCUUUUUGCUGGCAUCAUACUCCUCUCCCAUUUUUCCUUUCUAUCUCCUCAAUCUUCUGAAAUGAGAGCUGGAGCUCUGUCUGCCUGCUCACACCCUGCUGUGGUUCAUCAUCAUGGGAGCACAGGGUUUUUGGGUUUGUUUGGUUUGGCUUAAAAAAUCUGUAGAGGUUGAAAGAGGGAGUCAUUAGCCAAUGAGCUCAUAAACAUGAAGGGAAUCUGAGUCAGAAAACCCCUGUGGACAAAACAGGUGCUCAUUGCCCUGAGGCAUGUCAGCCUCGGAACGUAGGUGCAGCAGACAGAAGGGGGUGGCUGUCAGUGACCACAGAACCUGGGGAAGAACGGCUUGUCUUUGCUACUCAUGUGUUUAUGGUGAGACUGAGACUUGCAUGUCUGGGCCCCAUCAUCUUUCUGAGAAGCUUGAACUUAAAAUCUUUGCAUCUAUCCACAGAUUCCCUGUGUAACAGCCUAGUGCAAAAGAGGCAGACCCAAGGUUGUCCUCCUUCCUUUGUACAAGCCAGAACAAUUUUGUCAAAUAUUUUCUACUUUCAUCCAUGCAAUCUCCAGCCAGUUCCUCAUCCUCCCGGGAUGCUCUUAUUAUCAACAUGUUGAGACAGUCCAUCCCAAUGAGUAGUUACUUCACUUCAAGUGUUAUCACUGGCAGCUUAAGUGUCAUGGACAGGACCUUCUUGGGGAUACUGACUUAGAGCAGUAAACAAUUAGUAAGACAUACUGAUCUAAACAGAAGAGGCGCAUGGUAAUGCCACGUAUCAGUUCAUGACCUCAUUGAGGCACUAUUAGCCAGGACCUUCUUCCACUUCACACUUAAAAUGGUGCCUUAAGAUAAUGUCAGAUUGCUUUCUGCUUAUGUCAGUGAGUUUGGUACUUUUUCACUACAUGGUAUUAGAGAGAAAUCAAAGGGCUUUGAGCAGGACAGCAUCAGUAGCUGUUAUCACUUCUAUUAAAGACCUCUGUUCUUCAGUCCUGGCACUUGUAAAGCAUCCAUUCCACAUCCCUCUCCAGAUGCUUCUUGCCACCUUCCUCUGAACUAGUUCUCCUGGUGGCAUCUGCAUUGGCCAGGAGAGUUAAUUAUCUUCAGAUUGUCUUUUGCUGGAUGCUGCUUACAGCCUUCCCUGGGAGCAAACCCCUGGUUAGAUCUCUAUAAAAAUGUGGUCAGGUUUUCUUCUGUGCCUGUUAGCAACCUUGCCUGUUCUCUUCUGCUUAGCAAUGGGAGAGCAUAGUUAACACACACUGGAUGUUGAUCCAGGCCUUUUGCUUUACUGCUCUGGCUUAACAAUGAAAUUGCUUUGUUCCUCUAUGUACAGCGUGGGCUGACUUAUCGUAGGUCACCGCAUCUCUUUGCAAAGCUUGCCUGAACCUGAAUAUUCAGUGUGGUGAGCAACCUCACCUACCUUGCUGAAUGUCAGGGUAACAUAUUCAUCAGUCCUUGUUUUAUUUUUAUCUUGUUUGUGUUUCCACUUCUUUUCCCCCCCACAUUAGCAUUUUUAUCUUUCAUUUUUCCUCUUUUUCAGACUGUUACCUUUUACUUCUGCAUGCUCUGUCAAGCGAGGAGGGACAGGAUGAGGUACAAAUCUGUCUGUCCCUUUUCCCACCCUGCCAUCACUGACAGGUGAAGGAAGCAUUGCUGUUGACAUGGUAGAGAUAAUGCUUGUCUGUGUAGGCACCGUAAGGAAAGCAUUUCUGUAUCCAUCCUGGCCUUUGGUAGGUGCCUUCCCACCUCUCUGCUCUCAGGAAGGGCUCUGCAAAAGGAGUCUGAAGCAAGCAGGCUAAAAGAAGUCCAGCGGCCUUCUGAAAGUGGAUGAGCUUUUGGAAGAGUCAUCUGGUGAGUGCCACGGAUCUCAGUGCUCAAGCUGGCCAGUUAAACUCCUUUGAUUUCAGUGCUUUCCUCGUGGCAGUUUCCCCCUUUGUCACAAGAAGCCUGUUGCAAAAUGAAAGAUCAUUUCAAGUGUUUUCAAACUUUGUUUUCAAACUCUAAGUGUAAACUUUGCUGCUGUCUCACAGGGUAUGGGAGAGGAAGCUCAAGGGUCCCUCUGCACAGACCUGAUAUUCAUUUGUAGCUCACCUCCUGCUCCAGUAUAAUCCACUGCUUAUAUACUUACUCCUAAGCAUGCCCUUGUACAAGGUGGUUUGGGAAGGGUGUUACCUACCUAAACAUACUAAGAGCAUCUGCAUGGAGAGUUACUGUGGAGUAAUCAGUAUACUAUAUAUUAUCCACUGUGUACAGACAAGUUCUGAUUUGUUUCUGCUUUAUAGAGUAGGAAUUGGAAAACGAAAAUGAAGGAUAUUUUUCUACACUGAAAAGUUGAUUCUGGUUUAAGGUACUUAAUAGUUCAGUAUAUGAGGUCUUGCUGGAGCCACUCUCCGUGUAUACUUCAGGCAUUCCUGGGUAGCACAGCCCUCUUUUAGAGAAGGUGUCCAUACACAGAUGCUGUCAGGAAACAGCCGGACUGGCAUAACUCAGGCAGUUUACCCAGCGUCUCGUGGGAAAUCUAUGGCAAAGUGAAGACUGAGUCCUUUCAAGUUUCUAUGUGACUGCAUCAAGAUACUCUUCCUCCCAUCAUAUACUUUAGUAAAACUUUGUGCAAGUGAUAUAACUGCUAUUACUUCUGCAGUUUGCACUUCAGUGGUGCUCAGAGUGGGAGCCACGUGCAUCUGGCAGAAGGAAGGGAGGUGUGCUGACAGCACUGGAGACAGCAGCUUGCUCUGUUUUAUAGCUGUGGCCCAUGUUUACCUGGCAUAAUGGUCUAAUGAAUCAAAACCUUGGAGCAGUUGCAAAGUUGGGAUGCUUCUGUUGUCCAGCAGAUUUUAUUGGUCAGCCUUGGGUAAGGAGAGCUCAACAGUGAAAUGAUAUUCAAAUCUCUUCGUCUUCUUUCCUUCACUGGCAGUCUGUGCUGAACAGCUUUGAAUUAUAUUGUGGUGUUUUUAGGAGCUGGAUACGCUCUGUGGAAAUACUGAAUAACAGCCUAUUCUGAAAGAAUAUUUCUUGUAAACUACUUCUCUCCAUUGCUUUCAUGUGUUCUUUAUCAUGCAAAUGAAAAAGAACCUUUAUGCCUUAAAGCUAAUUUACUCUCGCUCCUGAGCAAAAUUAUAAUGAUUUUUUUUUUGUGUGUGUCACAAGAACAAUUUGCUAUUGUGCAAAUAACUUUUAUUUUUCAAUUAGAGGAUUAUGAUUUCAUUGAGGAAUAAGCAACAGGAGCAGGUGAGCUUGUGAGACUCGAAUGGGUAUUUUCAUGUAAAUAACUCGAAGACGAAGAGGGGAGGUCAGAGGGAGAAUAAUAAUGAGGAAUGUAUGUCAGACACUAUUUAUAAGUAGGUUAUUUUCAUACAGACGUCUGGCCAUUGCUGAAGGGUUAGUGUUGUGAAAACCAAAGUAUACGUGCCUAGGAUUAUUUUGUACUAAACCUUUUUCUUCUACAAAAUGUGAUGACUGAGGGCUUUCAACAAAGAGGUGUUCAUAAAGUCUGCUAUAGGACUUGCUGAAAGGAGUUACCUGACUAUGAUCGAUGCUCAAGUAGAGCAGAAGAAAACGGUCACUUUUCUCUACAAAAGCCCGAUUCAGAACUGAGCUAUGAAUAUAUUUUGCUUGCUGAAGGUAGGUGAGAGUAAUGUGGAUGCUUUGUAUCUAAAACCAGAUUGUGUUUAAAAUCUGUAUAGAGUUUUGCUACGUUAUAUGCAUAAACUUCUGUUACGUUCAUGUCUGAGAAAAAAAUUCUUCAAUGAAUGGUUUUUAUCCUUUUUGUAUCUCCUCUUUUUCAAAAAAUUAAAAGCAAGGAUAUCUAGCACAUUUGCAAGGCCUAAAUUUGAUUUUCCUCCUAUGAACUCUGGGGAUGGGUUUAUAAUGUUUAUAGUUCUGUUCAUGAAGAGAUUUCUGCCUUAAAGAGAAACUUGGAAAUGUUGUUCUCAGUAUCUGUAUCAGUAUCUGUAAGUGCAUAGGGACAUAGUAAAUACCUCUGGCAUUAGCUCAAGAGCAAUUUGUUUUUGCUUCAUCUUCUCAACUCCAAUGUAUUUCUUUGUUAGAUGACAAUACAAACUAUCCUUGUCUUUCUAUUGGUGUUUAAAGUAGCACAUGUUUUGAAGGAAUUUUAAAGAACUUGGAUGAGUGGCUGAAAAUCAGCUUUAACAGAAGACAAAAAGCAUGACUGGUUUUCAGAUGAGUCAAUUCUUUGAACCAGACAGCUGUAUGAGUGUGAGGGACUGAGAAUGUAUGGCAUCAGAGAAUAGGGCUGCAGCAUUUCAGAUUGAAAUCAGUUUAAAGGUUAGUGAGAAGGUGUUUCAUGGCUGGCUAACGCUGUGCGAGUUCGCACUGCUGCCUCAAUUGCUCUGUCUUCUUACUGGAUCCACAAGGCCAUGGCACAUGCCUGUCAUCAGCCCUUCUGCCAUUGCUGCUGUGGACUUAAGUUUCCUCCGAGCUUAUAAGAGUGCCAGCUAACUGUGCUGUAAGUGUUGAAUUCUUUCUACCUGAUAUUUCAAAUUAAGCUUGAACCAGUCAAUGUGCUUUUUAAAAUACAGGGCUUCUCUUUUGUAUUCAGUGAGAGCACUUUUAAGUACUCCUUUAGCACAAACAAGUUGGUAGAGGUCACAAUGAAUUUACUUCCCUGCUGGUAUGGCAGUAGUUUUAAUUUAUCUAAAUUGGAAGGAAAUCUUGUAUGGGCUACAAUCUAAGUAGAAAGCAGCCAUUGCAGACUGCAAUAGAUGUGUCACAAAUCAAUACAUCUUUCACUUGUGCAGAAGGGAAGACAGAUUCAGUCUAGAAGCUGGAUUCAGUCCAGCUUCUUCAACUAAAAUCUAAUUCUAGUGAUGUCUGAGAGCAGAGCACAAACUAAACUCUAUUGGUUCUUUUUAAUACUGAAGCAAGUAAGAUGAAACAAGCACUCUAAGUACCAGAGAGUUCUUGUAAAUCUGUUCAGAAGUUCUUCAAAUAGAAUGUGUCCUCCAUAGCCUGAGAAAGAUGGUCACCCUAGUGUUAGUGAAAAUUCCACCCUAAAAGGCUGGUGAACUUGCAUUAUGCACUGGACUCUAUUUUCUUGUCUUCAUUCCAUUUUGAAGCUGUGUUUGCCCCAGCAGUGUUGAUGGAAUGAGGACAGAUUAGCACUUAACUCUUAAUUUGAACACAAGUUUUGGACUGCAAUGUGUGCAUCUACAGCUAAGUUGCAUUAAGACCCAUCGUUGGUUGUAUCAGUAAAUUUCUGUCAGAAGUGUGGUUGUCACCUAGCUCUGAAAGCCUAGCAGAGAGCUGUCAACUUGAUUGGAAACAGGCUUUCACUGGAUUAUGAGCAGAGAAGCUUUGGAUGAGAUUAUGGAGUUAAUACUGGCUCAAAUACGUGCCUUUCGCAGUGUCAAAAAGGUGGGAAAUCUGACAAACUCUUUUCCUUUGUGUCUGUUAUUUACAGGCAUUAUUCUCAGCCAGGGACUGGGAUGUUGUUUCUCUCCCAUAGUGAUUAUGCUAGAACACAGUACAGCUCAGGCUUGUAUGCUUUGCUGGGAACACAAGGGCUGUUUCUGAACUCUUUAGGACCAGCCAUGAGGACAGUUUAUUCUUUUGUCUUGCAAGGAACCUGCUGGUGUGCUUAUAGUUAGGCUGUCUGUGUGCUGUAAAAUGAAAACUUGGGAUGAGACAGAUGAAUUAAUUCUGAAUCUCUUCACACCUUGUUGAGCUGCUAAUUUAGCUCUUUGUUAAGUUGUACGGUACCGCAUUGUUAAACUUACUGUGGCCCAGCUCAGAGAACAGGUAUACCUGAUGCAAGCAUGUAAUCCUUGUACCAGCAUUCUUUGGAGUCUCUGUAGAAGCCUUCUAAAGGCAGAAAUCCUUUAAGAUUUAAUUGGACUUUCCACUUCAUCAGAGCUGACGUGUUGUUCUGGGAGGACAUAGUUGUGUGUUUUACUGGAAAUGAAUAGGCAAACUGCCACAGAGCUAAGCUGCAUCUCUUUAAGCAGAAGUUCAGCUGUAGAACACCUCUUGAAAUGUGGGCAAGAUUUCCUAAAAUGCUCACGUUAUCUAUUUUAACUGACUUCUUAUGCCUACAGAUGUUCUGCUGUAGCUGCAGCUAAAAGUAGGCUGUAUAAGUAGGCCAAAUCAGUCGCCAUUAAGAUGUAUUUCUGAGAUUCUGUCUUUAUUUCAAGGCAUGUUUUUGAAAAUAUGACUUGGUCUUGCAGUGACAAGCCUGCAGUGCUCCCCGUGAUGUGCUCCUGUCAGGUCUCUGCCCUGUGGGGUAGGCCAAAAUCCAUAUUACCCCAUAUUCUCCUGAUAAGUGGAAUUUCAAGAAGAAAAGCACUCUGUUUUAAUAAGCUGCAGAGCAUAUGCAGAUCUCAAGAACCCAAACCGUACUGAUAGCAUUAUCUUGUUUGCAGUACAGAUUGGUUUGGUCUAGGACAGUUAAAUAUAAGAUAAUCUUUGUAGCAGGUAGGGCAACAAAUAUUUUACAUACAGGGAACCGUCACUUACAGACCUUGCUUAGAAGUAACAGCAGAAGGUCAAAGCACACUUGAUGCCCUUGGAGGACACACACAUUUUCUUUGUAGAAUUUGCAACCGUGUUAAUUACAGUGCAAGGAGAGCCUUCUUGGGAGCCUUCUCUCAAAGGCUCCCUUCUCAAGUCAUUAAGAACUCUGCAUACUCUGUGACAUCUUUGCCACUUCUCAAACCUCUUCUGCUCUAUGCUGCAGCUUUGAUCACAGCACAUGCCUGGCUGAGGGGACUGUGUCUGCAUACAUGUUGUCUGCUCCUUGGAUGACUUCAGUGCUGGUCAGUAAGCGGCCAAAUCUGGAUUCUUCUUCAUUAAGCUGUCACAUAAACAGUGCUAGUGUUCCCACCACUCCCAAACCUGACUUUGAAGGGUUGCAGCAUACUCUAAGGACUAUUCUAUUGGAACUGUAUAUUUAAUGGAAAAUAUACGCUAGAAAUGAGUGCAAUAAGUAGAGUGCAAUGAAUCUGCUCUAAGUAGGGAAUAGAAUCAUAUGGAUAGGAAGAGCUAUUGAGCAGAGUAUUAAAAAACAAAGCCACCAAGCAAACAAACAAAAGCCUGCGUGUUUGUUGAGCUGCAGAAGUUUCACACAAAAAGUGCUCUUCUGCUCCCAUUUUACUAACAGAAUGGAAGACAGAGGAUAUGCGUUCCUGAAUCGAAUUAUUCCAAGACAUCUAUUUAUCUAAGACGUGUAAGACAUCUGAACCUAAGUGUAAGUAACCAUGCUCAGUGGGAUUCACCUUACACAGGAGAGGAAGAGAACAGUUCUUACAGCGCAGGAACAGAUGGCUAGAUUGUGUGUAGGAAAACGGAAGAGUUCCUUGAGACCUCAUGGUAAAAAUAAAUAAAUAAAUUCUACCACCUAGCUCAUUAGAUCAGAAUUAUAGAAUGACUUGUGUUGGAAAGGACCUUAAAGGUCAUCUAGUUCCAGCCUCUCUGCUACAGGCAGGGACACCUCCCUCUGGACCAGGUUGCUCACAGCCCCAUCCAGCCUGGCCUGGAAUGAUUCCAGGGAGGGGGCAUCCACAACCUCACUGGGCAACCUGUGCCAGUGUCUCACCACCCUCACAGUAAACAAUUUCUUCCUGAUAUCUAGUCUAAAUCCACCCUCUUCCUUUUACCACUAGGGGCUGAAAUACGAGUUAUGGCUAACUGAGGGUUUUACAGGCAUUCCUUGUAUUUACAAAUAAAAUACUUGACUUUUUAGGCCAGUGCAGUUAGCUGGUACACCAGGCAGCGCAGAAGCCGUGUGACAUGACUAUUUUUGGAUUUGUUUUUUAACAGUAUGUCAUAAUUCUUGGGAGUGUUUUUUCAUUGCUUCAUGAAGAGUAAAAUAUAAGUAUUAUGGUGGUGAAUGCUCUC
Molecule: long non-coding RNA, 28275 nt
Filed under: Gallus gallus (chicken)
Lineage: Eukaryota; Metazoa; Chordata; Aves; Galliformes; Phasianidae
Source: RNAcentral